Molecule: microRNA precursor, 87 nt
Filed under: Paramuricea clavata
Lineage: Eukaryota; Metazoa; Cnidaria; Anthozoa; Malacalcyonacea; Plexauridae
Source: RNAcentral
CCUUCCAAAGUUUGCAAAUUUUGUAUACUUUUGUUUUGCAAUUUUCGCAUGCAAUACAAAAGUAUACAAAAUUUGCAAACUUUGUAA